Long non-coding RNA from Brassica oleracea var. oleracea, 980 nucleotides. RefSeq lists it as uncharacterized. The transcript is spliced from 3 exons. The record is from RefSeq and is a predicted model, not a curated record. Lineage: Eukaryota; Viridiplantae; Streptophyta; Magnoliopsida; Brassicales; Brassicaceae.
UUAAUUUUAAUUUCCUUACCUUUUAACUUCUGCUCCAACUUAUGUUCAAGUUUAUGAUUGAUUGACACGAAGGUGAGUAUCCAGAUCUAUGGUUUCUAUGCUGGGUGUGAGGCGAAUCAAUCAAGGUCUGUGUAUUCUUUCAGUGAUUUCUGGUAUUGACGAUGAUACCUUCGAUGGAGAUCUAAGACCACCCCAAAGGGAGGUUUUAAAAAGGAGUUCUUAGAAAAAAACAAAAAAAUAAAUGAAAAAAGAGAUAAUGGCAUAGAACCGCUGCCUAAAACAAAGCUUUUGGAAUCGCUAAAAACCCCAUACGUGCCUCUUUAUUGUUGGCUAAUUCUUUUUCUGCUUCUCUCUCUUCCUCUUUGUCGUUGUUCUUCUUUUUUUGUCUGAGAAAUCUGUCUGAGAAAUCGAUGUUGGUAAAUUAAGCUGUGGGAGUAUCCAAAUAGUUCUGUUUGAAAAAAAAAAAAUUGUUUGUGUCGGUGCGAAAGAUUUCACCGCAUUUACUUGAAGGAGUCCCGGAUGUGCUUGCAAAGGAACUGUUUUUGGCAUCUGGUGAAGGUCCUGGCCUCGCUAAUGUCAACCCAUUGAUAAGAUCAGUGCAAGAGCUGAGAGGUACAGACAUGCGAAAUCUGCAGAGACGAGGUCGAAUUGACCGUUAAUGGAGAACCAUUCGUGGUGUGUAACGAAUGUGCCCUCCCUGUUUGUAGACCUUGCUAUAAGUACGAAAGAAGAGAAGGCAAUCAAGCUUGUCCUUAGUGCAAGACCCAUUACAAAAGGCUUAAAGGAAGUCCAAGGGUUGAGAAUGAUGAAGAGGAAGAUGACACUGAUGAUAUAGACAAUGAGUUUGAUUACAUGAACAAUGGUGGGAUUGGAUUUGAUCAGGUAUGUUUUUGAAUUCUAAAGUAUUUAAUUGUAUAUAUGGUAUACUGAGUUUUGUGUAAUUGUAUAUAUGGUAUAUUGAGUUAUGUAUAUAUGCUAUA